RNAcentral lists this transfer RNA (75 nucleotides) under Corallococcus soli. Its description in RNAcentral is "tRNA-Pro(cgg)". It matches the Rfam family "tRNA". Rfam says of the family: Transfer RNA (tRNA) molecules are approximately 80 nucleotides in length. Their secondary structure includes four short double-helical elements and three loops (D, anti-codon, and T loops). Lineage: Bacteria; Pseudomonadati; Myxococcota; Myxococcia; Myxococcales; Myxococcaceae. The record is from RNAcentral.
CGGGAUGUAGCUCAGUCUGGUCAGAGCGCGCGCCUCGGGCGCGCGAGGUCGCUGGUUCGAAUCCAGCCGUCCCGA